This 497-nucleotide ribosomal RNA is filed under the name uncultured bacterium. RNAcentral's name for it is "partial 16S ribosomal RNA". It matches the Rfam family "Bacterial small subunit ribosomal RNA", at positions 28 to 507 of the family's 1533-position model. The record is from RNAcentral.
GAUGAACGCUGGCGGCGUGCCUAAUACAUGCAAGUCGAGCGAACGGACGAGAAGCUUGCUUCUCUGAUGUUAGCGGCGGACGGGUGAGUAACACGUGGAUAACCUACCUAUAAGACUGGGAUAACUUCGGGAAACCGGAGCUAAUACCGGAUAAUAUUUUGAACCGCAUGGUUCAAAAGUGAAAGACGGUCUUGCUGUCACUUAUAGAUGGAUCCGCGCUGCAUUAGCUAGUUGGUAAGGUAACGGCUUACCAAGGCAACGAUGCAUAGCCGACCUGAGAGGGUGGGAGGCAACACUAGAACUGCGACCGGGUGCGGAGUCCGCCGGACGGCGCCAGGAUGGGAUCUUCAUCAAUGGCCGAAAGCCUUACGGAGCAAUUCCGCGUGAGUAAUAAAUGUAUUCGGAUCUUAAAACUCUGUUAUUAUACAAGAACAUAUGUCCACGUAACUGUGCACACCUUCACCGGACCUAAUCAAAAAACCACCGCUAACUACAUC